AACAGGAUUAGAUACCCGGGUAGUCCACGCCGUAAACGAUGGAUACUAGCUGUUGGAGGUAUCGACCCCUUCAGUAGCGAAGCUAACGCGUUAAGUAUCCCGCCUGUGGAGUACGGUCGCAAGACUAAAACAUAAAGGAAUUGACGGGGAUCAGCACAAGCGGUGGAUUAUGUUCUUUAAUUCGAUGAUAACCGAUGAACCUUACCAGGGUUUGACAUCCUUGGAAUUUCUAUGAAAGUAGAAAGUGCUUCGGAACCAAGUGACAGGUGUUGCAUGGCCGUCGUCAGCUCGUGUCGUGAGAUGUUUGGUUAAGUCCAUCAACGAGCGCAACCCUUGUGAAUAGUUGUAUUUUUCUAUUCAGACUGCUCUAGUAAUAGGGAGGAAGGAGGGGAUGAUGUCAGGUCAGUAUUACCCUUACACCCUGGGCUAGAAACAUAAUACAAUGGCCGGUACAAUGCGCAGCGAAGCAGUGAUGUGGAGCAAAUCGCAUCAAAGCCGGUCCCAGUUCGGAUAAGAGGCUGAAACUCGCCUCUUUGAAGCCGGAAUCGCUAGUAAUCGCAAAUCAGCAAGUUGCGGUGAAUACGUCACUGAUCUUGUACACACCGCCCGUCAAACCAUGAAAGUGACCAACACCCGAAGUCCGAUUCGUCGGCCUAAGGUGGGGGGCAUGAUUGGGGUUAAGUCGUAACAAGGUAACC
This 698-nucleotide ribosomal RNA is filed under the name uncultured bacterium. RNAcentral's name for it is "bacterial SSU rRNA". It matches the Rfam family "Bacterial small subunit ribosomal RNA", at positions 771 to 1501 of the family's 1533-position model. The record is from RNAcentral.